AACGAACGCUGGCGGCAGGCCUAACACAUGCAAGUCGAACGCUGUAGCAAUACAGAGUGGCAGACGGGUGAGUAACGCGUGGGAACCUUCCCAGUGGUGCGGAAUAGCUCAGGGAAACUUGAGGUAAUACCGCAUAAGCCCCUAGGGGGAAAGAUUUAUCGCCAUUGGAUGGGCCCGCGUCGGAUUAGCUAGUUGGUGAGGUAAUGGCUCACCAAGGCAACGAUCCGUAGCNGGUUUGAGAGAAUGACCAGCCACACUGGGACUGAGACACGGCCCAGACUCCUACGGGAGGCAGCAGUGGGGAAUCUUGGACAAUGGGCGCAAGCCUGAUCCAGCCAUGCCGCGUGAGUGACGAAGGCCUUAGGGUUGUAAAGCUCUUUUGCCGGGGACGAUAAUGACGGUACCCGGAGAAUAAGUCCCGGCUAACUUCGUGCCAGCCGCCG
RNAcentral lists this ribosomal RNA (443 nucleotides) under uncultured bacterium. Its description in RNAcentral is "bacterial SSU rRNA". It matches the Rfam family "Bacterial small subunit ribosomal RNA", at positions 29 to 517 of the family's 1533-position model. The record is from RNAcentral.